RNAcentral lists this unclassified non-coding RNA (3373 nucleotides) under Apis florea (little honeybee). RNAcentral describes it as "succinate dehydrogenase [ubiquinone] flavoprotein subunit, mitochondrial-like, transcript variant X4". Lineage: Eukaryota; Metazoa; Arthropoda; Insecta; Hymenoptera; Apidae. The record is from RNAcentral.
AAUCGUAUCACGCAUUUACUCGAAUCACGUAUUUUAUAAGUGUAUGUGUGUGUGUGUAUGUGUGCAACAAAACGAUCGUAGCGUAAGUUUAAAGAAAGUAUUUAUUAGAAAUAGGUGAAUUGCUAGUACAAUUUCGCGUUCUAAUAACAAUCGGUUAUAUAUUGAAUCGUUGCUAAACUUAUAACAAAUUACGGGUGAGUAACCAAAUGCACCGUUUUUUUUUUUUUUUUUAAUAUAAUAACAAGGUAAAUAACAACGUAAGAUUUUUAUUGAAAGAAGAAUGAAAGCUGAAUAUAAUAGCCGCUACAAAAUCUGCCGAAAUAACGUUUAAUAUCCUAGUGAUGAAAGCGAUUCGUUACUUAUCUAUCCAUUCUCUGGUGUCCAACGAAUACCAAAGUGAAAAAUCGAACCGAUUAGCAAAGAGAUAUAAACCAAACUAAUUGUAUACUGUCCUAAUAACGUAACAAAUUGUCUAUGUUUUGAACUGUAUUUUUGCAAGUGCAAUAAAGUUAUGCUUGUACAAAAUACGAGUACCUACUGUGCUACUUUUACAGCGAUCCCCUUGGUACUCCUUGAAAACAGUCAUGAUUCACCGUUUUACUUCUUUUAUUAAAUGACAAGCAAACGAAUAUCACCUUGUUCACGUUAAUUAUACUUCAUACCGCAUACCACGAACUUCAAGAAAUAAUGUUGCGAUCUGUGAAUCAUUUGCCGCGAUUUAUCGCAAGGAGUAAUCGAUUUCCUUCGCAAAUCCAGCAUUUGAAGCAGGAAAGUGGUCGGUAUUUUCACGUAAACUUCAGUCCAGGUCAGGAAAAAGUGAAAUGUGGUACAGACACGAAUAAUUAUCCCGUGAUAGAUCAUUGUUACGAUGUUGUGGUUGUAGGCGCGGGUGGUGCAGGAUUGAGAGCCGCCUUCGGUUUAGGAAGUAAAGGAUACAGAGUGGCAGUGGUUACAAAAUUAUUUCCAACGAGAUCUCAUACCGUGGCCGCUCAGGGAGGAAUAAAUGCCGUCCUUAACAACGACAAGGAUGAUAAUUGGCUUUAUCACAUGUACGAUACCGUUAAAGGAUCCGACUGGUUAGGAGAUCAGGAUGCGAUACAUUUUCUAGCGAGAGAGGCACCACGGGCCGUCUACGAGCUUGAAAAUUACGGCUGUCCUUUCAGUCGUACGGAAGAUGGAAAAAUUUAUCAGCGUGCAUUCGGUGGUCAGUCGUUAAAAUUUGGAAAGGGUGGCCAAGCCCGUAGAACUUGCGCCGCUGCGGACAGAACCGGCCACGCAAUACUGCACACUUUAUACGGACAAAGUUUACGUUACGACGUGCAUUAUUAUGUGGAAUAUUUUGCUCUUGAUCUACUUAUGGUCGGACGAUGCUGCAAAGGCGUAAUGGCGUGGGAAUUAGAAUCCGGGCUUUUGCAUCGGUUCAGGGCUCAUCAUACGGUGUUAGCAACAGGAGGAGCGGGAAGAUGUUACUUCUCUUGUACCGCGGCUCAUACAUGCACUGGAGAUGGCCUUGCGAUAGCCUCCAGAGCAGGGUUGCCCCUUGAAGAUAUGGAGUUUAUCCAAUUCCAUCCAACCGGGAUAUAUGGAAGCGGCAUUUUGAUAACGGAGGGCGUCCGAGGGGAAGGUGGAAAGUUGGUAAAUGCUGAAGGAGAAUUCUUCAUGGAACGAUAUGCUCCGAACGCGAAAGAUCUCGCAUCUCGUGAUAUCGUCUCCAGGGCGAUAAUGAUGGAAGUAUUGGAAGGAAGAGGUGUAGGUUUCAAGAAGGAUCAUGUGUACCUGCAAUUGCAUCAUUUACCAUUAGAAACGAUACGAACACGAUUACCAGGAAUUUCACAUUUAUCUUGGGUGUUCAGCGGCGUGAAUGUGGAAAAAGAGCCGAUACCAGUUAUUCCUACGGUACAUUACAACAUGGGUGGUAUACCCACAAAUUGGAAAGCGCAGGUUCUGUCGCGCGAGAACGAGGAGGAUACCAUUAUCGAUGGACUUUGGGCAGCAGGUGAAACUGCAUGUGUAUCCAUCCAUGGCGCCAAUCGAUUAGGCGCCAACAGCCUUCUAGAAUUGGUCGUUUUUGGCAAAGCAAUUGCCGAUCAAAUUGACUGUUUAACGAGACCUGGUGAACGUCACGAGGAUUUAUCAACCUUGAUUGGCGAGGACACUAUUUGCCGUUUCGACGCAACACGUCAUGCAAAAGGUUGUGUUCCUAUAGUCGAACUACGGGAAGAAAUGCAGCAAACUAUGCAGAAAUAUUGUUCAGUAUUUAGAACCUGCGAUACAUUACAACGAGCAUGUCGUGAGAUGACGCGACUUUAUACCUGCGAUUUGCCGGAUCUAUGUGUAGGUUCAAGAUCAAUCACUAAUAUGGAACACAGAACUGGUAGAAGCUAUAGAAUUACAAAAUAUGAUGUUAUCUUGCAUGCACAUCGUUUACGCAGCAGAAAACAGAAAAGAAUCUCGAGGAUCACAUGCCCGUGAAGAUUUCAAAGAACGAAUUGACGAGUAUGAUUAUGCGAAACCGCUCGAAGGUCAAAAGAAGCGGUCGUAUAAAGAACAUUGGCGCAAACACACACUUACAUGGGCUCGACCAGAUGGUUCAAUCAGCAUUUCUUAUCGUCCCGUUAUCGAUACGACACUGGACGAAUCAGAAGCCCGACACGUUCCACCAACAAUUCGAAUAUAUUAAAUACGGUUAUGAAACUGGUAGAUUUUUUCCAAUCUUUUUCCUCGUUUUUUUCGUCUGGUUCUAUUCUAUUUUUUAAAUUAACGCAUUAUCAAUAGCUAACAUUGUUCAUGUUAGUGUAGCUGAUAAUUUAAAUAUGAGCUCAAUUCUUUAUCUUGAAAUUACAACGACGAACAUACAUAUUUCGUUGUUUGUAGAAGGUUCGUGAAUUCCAUAUAAAUUUUGUUCAUCGCAUGCAAACAAUGUUAAUUAAUUCUAAACAGAAGUGGGGAUUUAUCCUUUUUAUUUACAUAUUAAAUAGUCAACCAAUCGUCAAUAACAAACGGAAUUAUACAUAUAUGUUCUUCAAUUAUACAUAUAUGCUUCCGAAUGAAAGUCAUUUUUUCCUGCUGUUUAUGAUUACUUUCGAAUAUUAUAGUAUAAUUAAAAAUUAGCACUUGUUUUAAAUAUUUUCAACAAGGUGAAAAUGAUUAUUUGGAAAUUUUACAUCGAUUUGCUAUAUUUCGUAAGAUCGAAUCAUUGAUGAAUAAUUGACGUGCAUAAAACGUGCAUGACGUUAUUACAUUCUAUAUUAUUUAAUUACAUUCGAUGUAUAUGAUAAAUGCAACGAAGUUAUAUAAUUAAAAAUAUAUAUAAUAUAAUUUUACGAUCUCAUUGUAUCGGAUAUAAAAUAUAACAAUUUCAAAUAUAUUAAUC